This 497-nucleotide ribosomal RNA is filed under the name uncultured bacterium. Its description in RNAcentral is "partial 16S ribosomal RNA". It matches the Rfam family "Bacterial small subunit ribosomal RNA", at positions 28 to 507 of the family's 1533-position model. The record is from RNAcentral.
GAUGAACGCUGGCGGCGUGCCUAAUACAUGCAAGUCGAGCGAACAGAUGAGGAGCUUGCUCCUCUGACGUUAGCGGCGGACGGGUGAGUAACACGUGGAUAACCUACCUAUAAGACUGGGAUAACUUCGGGAAACCGGAGCUAAUACCGGAUAAUAUAUUGAACCGCAUGGUUCAAUAGUGAAAGACGGUUUUGCUGUCACUUAUAGAUGGAUCCGCGCCGCAUUAGCUAGUUGGUAAGGUAACGGCUUACCAAGGCAACGAUGCGUAGCCGACCUGAGAGGGUGAGCGGCCACACUGGAACUGAGACACGGUCCAGACUCCUACGGGAGGCAGCAGUAGGGAAUCUUCCGCAAUGGGCGAAAGCCUGACGGAGCAACGCCGCGUGAGUGAUGAAGGUCUUCGGAUCGUAAAACUCUGUUAUUAGGGAAGAACAAAUUUGUAAGUAACUAUGCACGUCUUGACGGUACCUAAUCAGAAAGCCACGGCUAACUACGUG